Molecule: long non-coding RNA, 857 nt
Organism: Papaver somniferum (opium poppy)
Lineage: Eukaryota; Viridiplantae; Streptophyta; Magnoliopsida; Ranunculales; Papaveraceae
Exons: 7
Source: RefSeq, a predicted model, not a curated record
AGAUAAACACAGAGGCGAUUUAGAGUUGUUGUUCUUCCACAGAGAUUCGUUCUUCGGGGCGAUAUGGAUGUGGAUGAUGAUGAUGAUGACAAUUAUUAUCAAACAACAACACCAAUUUUAUCUUCUUGGGGUCCUGAUGAUACUCGAGAUAAAAAAAAAAUACAUACCCCUGUUGCAAAACUAUUGCAUGUUUGAAUGGUGAUAUUCAAGGACCGGGGGCUUGCUGCUGGAUGGGUUAGUUGAAGAUCAUGAGGAUCGAACAUAUCUAAGAGAUGCAUUGAAGCUGAAGAAUCUUUUUUUUUUGUGUGGAUUUCUGUUUAGGUAACAAUACCGGUAGUAACAAAACGAGUUGCAUCUCACGAUAACAAAGUUGGCGAGGAAUUGGAUAAGCUCAGAGGAUGAGUUGAAGAGGAUAAAGGUAGUUGUGAGCACAUUUACCUUAGGAAAUGACCUCACCUUAUGUUGCUAUGCUUGUAGCUCAAGAUGUUGCAACACAAUUGCAGGGGGAAUGAAGGUCAAAGCUGAUAAAGAUGGGUCCUCGCCUCAUGUUUCUAUGCUUGCAACCCAAAAUGUUGCAACAUGGUAAUAGGUUAACUGCUAAACCAUCCUAUGCAAAUCCUGCCAUUAUUCAGCAAGAGCUUGGCGUGGUUGAUAUUUUUGUCAGUCUGUGCAGACUAGAGUUGCAGUCUGGCUAUCAUGAAUGUUGGAUUUUUUCUGUAUUUUUGCCGAUGUGUCCAUAGUUGUACACUAGUAUGAAUCAAAAAAAAUCUAAAAGUGAAAAUUAUAUAGUCAUAUGGGUACUCUUUUUGUAGAUCUCAAAAAGAGCUUUUCGAAUAUAUAAAGUUUGUAAAUUUUGG